RNAcentral lists this ribosomal RNA (468 nucleotides) under uncultured bacterium. Its description in RNAcentral is "partial 16S ribosomal RNA". It matches the Rfam family "Bacterial small subunit ribosomal RNA", at positions 28 to 507 of the family's 1533-position model. The record is from RNAcentral.
GACGAACGCUGGCGGCGUGCUUAACACAUGCAAGUCGAACGGAAAGGCCCUGCUUGCAGGGUGCUCGAGUGGCGAACGGGUGAGUAACACGUGGGUGAUCUGCCCCUUACUUUGGGAUAAGCCUGGGAAACUGGGUCUAAUACUGGAUAGGACCAUGCUGUAGGUGGUGUGGUGGAAAGAUUAGUUUCGGUAAGGGAUGAGCUCGCGGCCUAUCAGCUUGUUGGUGGGGUAUGGCCUACCAAGGCGUCGACGGGUAGCCGGCCUGAGAGGGUGGACGGCCACAUUGGGACUGAGAUACGGCCCAGACUCCUACGGGAGGCAGCAGUGGGGAAUAUUGCACAAUGGGCGCAAGCCUGAUGCAGCGACGCCGCGUGGGGGAUGACGGCCUUCGGGUUGUAAACUCCUUUCAGCCAUGACGAAGCCCUUGUGGUGACGGUAGUGGUAGAAGAAGCACCGGCUAACUACGUG